RNAcentral lists this ribosomal RNA (468 nucleotides) under uncultured bacterium. RNAcentral's name for it is "partial 16S ribosomal RNA". It matches the Rfam family "Bacterial small subunit ribosomal RNA", at positions 28 to 507 of the family's 1533-position model. The record is from RNAcentral.
GACGAACGCUGGCGGCGUGCUUAACACAUGCAAGUCGAACGGAAAGGCCCUGCUUUGGUGGGGUGCUCGAGUGGCGAACGGGUGAGUAACACGUGAGUAACCUGCCCUUGACUUUGGGAUAACUUCAGGAAACUGGGGCUAAUACCGGAUAGGAGCUCCUGCUGCAUGGUGGGGGUUGGAAAGUUUCGGCGGUUGGGGAUGGACUCGCGGCUUAUCAGCUUGUUGGUGGGGUAGUGGCUUACCAAGGCUUUGACGGGUAGCCGGCCUGAGAGGGUGACCGGCCACAUUGGGACUGAGAUACGGCCCAGACUCCUACGGGAGGCAGCAGUGGGGAAUAUUGCCCAAUGGGCGGAAGCCUGAUGCAGCAACGCCGCGUGCGGGAUGACGGCCUUCGGGUUGUAAACCGCUUUCGCCUGUGACGAAGCGUGAGUGACGGUAAUGGGUAAAGAAGCACCGGCUAACUACGUG